CUGGCGGCAUGCUUAACACAUGCAAGUCGAACGGAAACGAUGGAAGCUUGCUUCCAGGCGUCGAGUGGCGAACGGGUGAGUAAUGCUUGGGAAUCUGCCUAAUAGUGGGGAACAACUCGGGGAAACUCGGGCUAAUACCGCAUAAUCUCUUCGGAGGAAAGGGGGCCUCUACAUGUAAGCUCUCGCUAAUAGAUGAGCCCAAGUCAGAUUAGCUUGUUGGUAAGGUAACGGCUUACCAAGGCUACGAUCUGUAGCUGGUCUGAGAGGAUGAUCAGCCACACUGGGACUGAGACACGGCCCAGACUCCUACGGGAGGCAGCAGUGGGGAAUAUUGCACAAUGGGCGAAAGCCUGAUGCAGCAAUGCCGCGUGUGUGAAGAAGGCUCUAGGGUUGUAAAGCACUUUCAAUAAGGAAGAAAAGCAUAUGGUUAAUAACCUUAUGCAUUGACGUAACUUAUACAAGAAGCACCGGCUAAUUCCGUGCCAGCAGCCGCGGUAAUACGGAAGGUGCAAGCGUUAAUCGGAAUUACUGGGCGUAAAGCGCGCGUAGGCUGUUAUCUAAGUCGGAUGUGAAAUCCUCGGGCUCAACCCGGGAACUGCAUCCGAAACUAAAUAACUAGAGUAUGGGAGAGGUAAGUAGAAUUUCCGGUGUAGCGGUGAAAUGCGUAGAUAUCGGAAGGAAUACCAGUGGCGAAGGCGGCUUACUGGACCAAUACUGACGCUGAGGUGCGAAAGCGUGGGGAGCGAACAGGAUUAGAUACCCUGGUAGUCCACGCCGUAAACGAUGAGAACUAGAUGUUGGGAGGGUUAGCCUCUCAGUGUCGCAGCUAACGCAUUAAGUUCUCCGCC
Molecule: ribosomal RNA, 848 nt
Filed under: uncultured Gammaproteobacteria bacterium
Lineage: Bacteria; Pseudomonadati; Pseudomonadota; Gammaproteobacteria
Description: bacterial SSU rRNA
Rfam family: Bacterial small subunit ribosomal RNA
Source: RNAcentral